UACAGAGGGUGCAAGCGUUAAUCGGAAUUACUGGGCGUAAAGCGUGCGUAGACGGUUAUUUAAGUCGGGUGUGAAGGCCCCGGGCUCAACCUGGGAAUUGCAUUCGAGACUGAAUAGCUAGGGUGCGGAAGAGGGAAGCGGAAUUUCCGGUGUAGCGGUGAAAUGCGUAGAUAUCGGAAGGAACACCAGUGGCGAAAGCGGCUUCCUGGUCCAGCACCGACGUUCAGGCACGAAAGCGUGGGGAGCAAACAGG
Molecule: ribosomal RNA, 253 nt
Filed under: uncultured bacterium
Lineage: Bacteria
Description: partial 16S ribosomal RNA
Rfam family: Bacterial small subunit ribosomal RNA
Source: RNAcentral